RNAcentral lists this non-coding RNA (131 nucleotides) under Chlorarachnion reptans. Lineage: Eukaryota; Cercozoa; Chlorarachniophyceae. The record is from RNAcentral.
CGGUAAACAUACACACCGGAACAAUGGCCGGAUUUGUCAGGAAGAUCAGCGAAGUCUUCAUAUCUGGUGGAGACGAUGCUCGUGGAUUGGAAGACGUUGUACGAGCUGCCUGUGGAUUAUUGGGCGAUAUU